Molecule: long non-coding RNA, 385 nt
Organism: Malania oleifera
Lineage: Eukaryota; Viridiplantae; Streptophyta; Magnoliopsida; Santalales; Ximeniaceae
Exons: 2
Source: RefSeq, a predicted model, not a curated record
UAUGCUUUUCUCAGGAAAGUUCUGGAACUUCUAAUAUGAUGGGAUAAAGCAGAGUAUGAUAUAUGGCUUUUUGUCUUUCAAGGCACUUCCAUAUAUAUAAAAAACUGCAGGGGUGCAGUGAACGAUGGGGCGCUGUGUAUAUAAUUAAAAUAAGUUUAGUAGAUUUUAGAAUAAUCUACAAGACACUGUUGCUGCCGCUGCCUCCGCCUCCGCCACGGCAACCUUAUCCAUUGGUUUUCUCAUAAAAUAUGAAUUAAUGUUUAGAAAAAUAAAGCUAUUAUUAUAAUAUGCGGUGCAUACCAAAUCCUGUAUGGUUAUUAAAAUUGCAUCGAUUUUGUAAAUCGGGGCUUUGAUGGACUGUUUUUAAAAAUUUUAAUCACAUUUU